UAGCUCAGUUGGUAGAGCAUGGUGUUUGCAACGCCAGGGUUGUGGGUUUGAUACCCAC
Molecule: transfer RNA, 58 nt
Filed under: Salmo salar (Atlantic salmon)
Lineage: Eukaryota; Metazoa; Chordata; Actinopteri; Salmoniformes; Salmonidae
Also listed under: 1 other name
Rfam family: tRNA
About the family: Transfer RNA (tRNA) molecules are approximately 80 nucleotides in length. Their secondary structure includes four short double-helical elements and three loops (D, anti-codon, and T loops).
Source: Rfam by way of RNAcentral